GACGAACGCUGGCGGCGUGCUUAACACAUGCAAGUCGAACGGAAAGGCCCUGCUUUUGUGGGGUGCUCGAGUGGCGAACGGGUGAGUAACACGUGAGUAUCCUGCCCUUGACUUUGGGAUAACUUCAGGAAACCGGGGCUAAUACCGGAUAGGAGCUCCUGCUGCAUGGUGGGGGUUGGAAAGUUUCGGUGGUUGGGGAUGGACUCGGGGGCUAACAGCUUGUUGGUGGGGUAGUGGCUUACCAAGGCAUCGACGGAUAGCCGGCAUGAGAGGGGGGACGGGGACAUUGGGACUGAGGGACGGCGCAGUGUGGAAUGGGGGGCAACAGGGGGAAGUAUGAUCCAGUGAUGGGAAGCGUGAUGCGACAGCGCCGGGAGCGGAAUGACGGCCUUGGGGUGGGGAAGCGCUGUCGGCUGUUACCAAGCGUGAGUGACGGUAAUGGGUAAAGAAGCACCGGCUAACUACGUG
Molecule: ribosomal RNA, 468 nt
Filed under: uncultured bacterium
Lineage: Bacteria
Description: partial 16S ribosomal RNA
Rfam family: Bacterial small subunit ribosomal RNA
Source: RNAcentral